UACAGAGGUCUCAAGCGUUGUUCGGAUUCAUUGGGCGUAAAGGGCGCGUAGGCUGCGGGGCAAGUCGGGUGUGAAAUCUCCGAGCUCAACUCUGAAACUGCACUCGAUACUGCUUUGCUUGAGGACUGGAGAGGAGAUUGGAAUUCACGGUGUAGCAGUGAAAUGCGUAGAUAUCGUGAGGAAGACCAGUGGCGAAGGCGGAUCUCUGGACAGUUCCUGACGCUGAGGCGCGAAGGCCAGGGGAGCAAACGGG
RNAcentral lists this ribosomal RNA (253 nucleotides) under uncultured bacterium. Its description in RNAcentral is "partial 16S ribosomal RNA". It matches the Rfam family "Bacterial small subunit ribosomal RNA", at positions 524 to 776 of the family's 1533-position model. The record is from RNAcentral.